This 278-nucleotide ribosomal RNA is filed under the name uncultured Staphylococcus sp. Its description in RNAcentral is "partial 16S ribosomal RNA". It matches the Rfam family "Bacterial small subunit ribosomal RNA", at positions 83 to 351 of the family's 1533-position model. The record is from RNAcentral. Lineage: Bacteria; Bacillati; Bacillota; Bacilli; Caryophanales; Staphylococcaceae.
CCUUUGACGUUAGCGGCGGACGGGUGAGUAACACGUGGGUAACCUACCUAUAAGACUGGGAUAACUUCGGGAAACCGGAGCUAAUACCGGAUAAUAUUUCGAACCGCAUGGUUCGAUAGUGAAAGGNGGUUUUGCUAUCACUUAUAGAUGGACCCGCGCCGUAUUAGCUAGUUGGUAAGGUAACGGCUUACCAAGGCGACGAUACGUAGCCGACCUGAGAGGGUGAUCGGCCACACUGGAACUGAGACACGGUCCAGACUCCUACGGGAGGCAGAGCC